CAGUAGCCGCGGGAACACGGAGGGGGCUAGCGUUGUUCGGAAUUACUGGGCGUAAAGCGCACGUAGGCGGCUUGGUAAGUUAGAGGUGAAAGCCCGGAGCUCAACUCCGGAAUUGCCUUUAAGACUGCCGAGCUAGCAGGUGAGAGAGGUAAGUGGAAUUCCGAGUGUAGAGGUGAAAUUCGUAGAUAUUCGGAAGAACACCAGUGGCGAAGGCGGCUUACUGGCUCAUACUGGACGCUGAGGUGCGAAAGCUAGGGGAGCAAACAGGAUUAGAUACCCCUGUGUCCCUGUCUCUUAUACA
Molecule: ribosomal RNA, 301 nt
Filed under: uncultured bacterium
Lineage: Bacteria
Description: partial 16S ribosomal RNA
Rfam family: Bacterial small subunit ribosomal RNA
Source: RNAcentral